CGAACGGGUGAGUAAUGCGUGACCAACCUGCCCCAUGCUCCAGAAUAGCUCUUGGAAACGGGUGGUAAUGCUGGAUGCUCCAACUUGACGCAUGUCUUGUUGGGAAAGUGUUUAGUGGCAUGGGAUGGGGUCGCGUCCUAUCAGCUUGUAGGCGGGGUAAUGGCCCACCCAGGCUUCGACGGGUAGCCGGCCUGAGAGGGCGGACGGCCACAUUGGGACUGAGAUACGGCCCAGACUCCUACGGGAGGCAGCAGG
Molecule: ribosomal RNA, 255 nt
Filed under: uncultured Gardnerella sp.
Lineage: Bacteria; Bacillati; Actinomycetota; Actinomycetes; Bifidobacteriales; Bifidobacteriaceae
Description: partial 16S ribosomal RNA
Rfam family: Bacterial small subunit ribosomal RNA
Source: RNAcentral